Molecule: long non-coding RNA, 1548 nt
Organism: Cyprinus carpio (common carp)
Lineage: Eukaryota; Metazoa; Chordata; Actinopteri; Cypriniformes; Cyprinidae
Source: Ensembl
AAAGUCUCUCUAACACUCACUCAUUAAUCUUAAGCUCCAGCGAAGGAAAAAUCUUCAAAAGACUGAUCUGUUUUAAGAUCAACUGAGAUGAAACGGCGGUCUCCCUGCACGGGACGACUGGGACUCCGAGAUACGAGUGUUAGGUCAGCAGCAACCAACAGCCAUGACCACUUCCCCAUUAGUCCUGUUUUUGAAAUGGGUUAGAUACAAUCUGCCACAAUGAACUACUGGAAUAGACCAUCCCUUAAAGAUAACCAACUUAAACGAACUAUUAUUCACAAGAUUUUAAUAUUGUUGCUUAUAUUGUAAAUCUCCACUCUGAAGGUUAUGGGUUCAUAAUUGAGCCUCAAGGAUAGAUUUCUCCUUUGUCUGUACAUUUAAAGGAGUUUAGUUCAUCCAUAAAUAAAGAUUCUGUCAUCAUUUAUUCACCUUGUCAUUUCAAACCUGAAAGACUUUCUUUCUUCUACAGAAGAUAUAUAGAGGAAUUAUAAAUAAUGUACUGAUCCUUUUUCAAUGCAAUUAUUGGAGAAUGGAGGUUUCCGAAUCAAAAACUGAAUCACCAAGAUGUCAAGAUUCAAGAUUUAAUUUAAUCACAAGAUGAAGCUUGUGGUUUUCGCAAGAACGAAAGAUUUCAUACAGAUUUGGAACAACAUGAGGGUGAGUAAAAGUUACAGAUUAUUUAUUUAUUUAUUAGAGAAAUGCUCCUUUAAGAGUUGUGAGGUUGUGUGCGCGUGUGUGUGUAUGUGCUUAUUUAUUUUAUGAGCUGGUUCAUCCUUAUAGGAAAAACAAACCCACAGAUAUCACAGAUGUUAAAUGAAAGCUUUUACUGCCAGCAUAUGAUUGAACCAUAUUUUUAUUUUCUGUACUUUCAUUGUAUUGUUUUACCUGAAAAUAUUAUCAGAAAUUUCACCUGUCCCCUGACGUACAAUGUAUCCACUGGGAAACAGAAAUGACUAUAAUACAGGGGAUACUCAAUGUCUGGCUCAUCACAACAGUCUGGAUUCGUGGGACAAUUUAUUUGUGUUUCCAUUUCUGCACUUCAAGUGAGCAUCACAGCACCAGAAAACAGAAAGCCAGCGAUUAUAAUGAACAAAUCUGUCUAAACUGCAAGUCAGCGUGUCCAUUAUAAUGCAGUGUAGACAGCCUUGCUGAUUAUAAUUGUCUUCUUGUUUUGUUGCUUUUGUUUGGCCAGGGUAGAUGGAGUGUGAAAAUUUGUAUUUAAAGGAUAUCACAAAACAUUUUUGCAAUUCAUUCUAAAUCUAUCUAUCCAUCCAUCCAUCUAUCUACUGUAUCUAUCCUUAAAAAAACAUUUAAAUAUAUUAGCCUGUCUGUGAAUUCUUAAGCUGAAACUCUUUUUCUGUUGUACUUUUGUCAUGAUUUAUCCUCAUCUUCAUUUUUAAAUCUUGUACAUCUGUAGUUUCAGUUAAUUAGCAGAACAACUGGACAUAUUUGGGGCAAAUAUGACUGGAACAUAUGGCCAAAAGAUUGUUAGUUUCAGAAUGGUGAAGCAGAAAAAGUUCUUGGAAUAAAUUUUUGAUGGGAAACCCA